RNAcentral lists this ribosomal RNA (338 nucleotides) under uncultured bacterium. RNAcentral describes it as "bacterial SSU rRNA". It matches the Rfam family "Bacterial small subunit ribosomal RNA", at positions 156 to 493 of the family's 1533-position model. The record is from RNAcentral.
AUUUUGAUUAAUGCUCUAUGUUCUUAUUUACUCGCAUGAGUAAAUAUGCAAAGCUCCGGCGGUAAAAGAUGGGCAUGCGUCCUAUUAGCUUGUAGGUGAGGUAACGGCUCACCUAAGCUCCGAUAGGUAGGGGUCCUGAGAGGGAGAUCCCCCACACUGGUACUGAGACAGGACCAGACUUCUACGGAAGGCAGCAGUAAGGAAUAUUGGACAAUGGAGGCAACUCUGAUCCAGCCAUGCCGCGUGAAGGAAGACGGCCUUAUGGGUUGUAAACUUCUUUUAUACAGGAAGAAACCUUUCCACGUGUGGAAAGCUGACGGUACUGUAAGAAUAAGGAU